UACGUAGGGUGCGAGCGUUAAUCGGAAUUACUGGGCGUAAAGGGCUCGUAGGCGGCCAACUAAGUCAGACGUGAAAUCCCUCGGCUUAACCGGGGAACUGCCUCUGAUACUGGAUGGCUUGAGAUUGGGAGAGGGAUGCGGAAUUCCAGGUGUAGCGGUGAAAUGCGUAGAUAUCUGGAGGAACACCGGUGGCGAAGGCGGCAUCCUGGACCAACACUGACGCUGAGGAGCGAAAGCCAGGGGAGCAAACGGG
This 253-nucleotide ribosomal RNA is filed under the name uncultured bacterium. RNAcentral's name for it is "partial 16S ribosomal RNA". It matches the Rfam family "Bacterial small subunit ribosomal RNA", at positions 524 to 776 of the family's 1533-position model. The record is from RNAcentral.